CAUGAAGCUGGAAUCGCUAGUAAUCGCGGAUCAGAAUGCCGCGGUGAAUACGUUCCCGGGUCUUGUACACACCGCCCGUCACACCAUGGGAGCCGGAAAUGCCCGAAGUCAGUGACCCAACCGCAAGGAGGGAGCUGCCGAAGGUGGAGCUGGUAACUGGGGUGAAGUCGUAACAAGGUAGC
RNAcentral lists this ribosomal RNA (182 nucleotides) under uncultured bacterium. RNAcentral's name for it is "partial 16S ribosomal RNA". It matches the Rfam family "Bacterial small subunit ribosomal RNA", at positions 1319 to 1500 of the family's 1533-position model. The record is from RNAcentral.